This 74-nucleotide transfer RNA is filed under the name Bacteroidales bacterium. RNAcentral describes it as "tRNA-Pro". It matches the Rfam family "tRNA". Rfam says of the family: Transfer RNA (tRNA) molecules are approximately 80 nucleotides in length. Their secondary structure includes four short double-helical elements and three loops (D, anti-codon, and T loops). Lineage: Bacteria; Pseudomonadati; Bacteroidota; Bacteroidia; Bacteroidales. The record is from RNAcentral.
CGGGGUGUAGCACAGUUGGUUAGCGCACCUGGUUUGGGACCAGGAGGUCCCCCGUUCGAGUCGGGGUACCCCGA